Molecule: ribosomal RNA, 425 nt
Filed under: uncultured bacterium
Lineage: Bacteria
Description: bacterial SSU rRNA
Rfam family: Bacterial small subunit ribosomal RNA
Source: RNAcentral
UGGGGAAUCUUGCACAAUGGGCGAAAGCCUGAUGCAGCGACGCCGCGUGAGCGAUGAAGCCCUUCGGGGUGUAAAGCUCUUUCGACGGGAACGAUAAUGACGGUACCCGGAGAAGAAGCUGCGGCUAACUACGUGCCAGCAGCCGCGGUAAUACGUAGGCAGCGAGCGUUGUUCGGAAUUACUGGGCGUAAAGAGUGUGUAGGCGGUGUUCCCAGUCUGUUGUGAAAUCUCCCGGCUUAACUGGGAGGGUGCAGCGGAAACUAGAAUGCUAGAGGGUGGGAGAGGUAAGCGGAAUUCCUGGUGUAGCGGUGAAAUGCGUAGAUAUCAGGAGGAACACCUGUGGUGUAGACAGCUUACUGGACCACUUCUGACGCUGAGACACGAAAGCGUGGGUAGCAAACAGGAUUAGAUACCCCGCGUAGUCC